Molecule: long non-coding RNA, 2487 nt
Organism: Acinonyx jubatus (cheetah)
Lineage: Eukaryota; Metazoa; Chordata; Mammalia; Carnivora; Felidae
Exons: 3
Source: RefSeq, a predicted model, not a curated record
GGCCCUCAGCUUCUUGCUUUGCAGCAGAAUGAGGUAAGAUCUAUCUUUCUCUUGCUGUUGUUAAAAACAUUUCAACAGUUAGUUCUUUUUCCCAGAAAACGCUGCAGGUUGGUUCCAGGUUAAAAAGCAAAAAGUACCACGAUUGAAUUUUACACUUGACUAUGCUUUGGCCAGGAUGCAUGAUAAGUUAAAGCAUACUGAGAGACUAUUUUUUUUUAAGAGGGAAAACUUGAUAGAGGAUUGUAUUUCUAGAUUAGAGAGUGGGCACUGUAAUCUUUCUGACAUUGUAAACCUGAAGCUGGCUGCAGGGAAAAUAAACAUUACAACACCCGACACUUAAACAAUUGUACCUACUCGGUUAAGUAACAAAAGCGUGAGGCACCUGGAAUCAGCAGCAUUUGUGCCUAAUGCCAGCAACAAUAUAAAGCAUUCAAGUGACAUUUGAUAAUGAGCAGACAGUGGAGGCAUUACACACGUCUUUAGAAGAAUCAGACUUCCUACCUUGAAAAGACAGAUGGAGGUUUCCACCACUGACCAAGGAUAUUGGACGAUUUUCAUCUCUUCCCUUCCCUCCGAUGACAUGAGGGUGUAUUGUUUUGGUCAUUCAAGGAGCUGAUCUUCACUACCUAGAUGAAAUCAGAUUGCUAUCCAGUGUAAUGAAUUCCCUAAAGAAUGGAAAGACACUUUUCCAGGGGAGAAAUCAGGAUAUCUUGCUUAAUAAAUUACUGCUAAAACUUGGAAAAAAUACAAAAAGAAAAUAAAUGGCUGUAGAUCUUUGUGAAACAGGCCAAGUAUACUUUCAGUAUGUUAUUCGAUAAUUUAUAAAGCAUGUUAAAUCACAUGUCAUACGCUGGGUAAAAUAAUGUGUAUUAUGUUAUUGUACUCAUUCUAGAUUUGCAUUGAAAAGAACAUAUUAUCAGCUUGAAUGUUGCAAAUAAACUAAAACAUAAGCCUUCAGGAUAGCUUGAGGAAUUUAUGUAGUUAGACAGCCUUGGAUUCUGAAUCUUUCUUUAGCCAUGUCCAGUCAUCAGAUAUCUAAAGGUUUGCUAUUGUUUUGUCCUUCACCUACAAAAAAAGAUGUGAUGAUGUUUAUCUGCAACUCUUAUAGCGGAUGGAAGGGUAGCAAAGAUCAAUAGGUUAAUACUUACAAACCACAAUUCAGGUGACAAAAAGUCUGCAGAUGCAUAAAAUAAACAUUAUGCUAAUGAUAGACUAUUGAUCAUAAAAAAAUUACUCUGCUCCAGGGUAACACCUUUCUUUUUCUUUUGUUCUGUGGGUUGUACGUGUGUUAGUCUUAGAUAGAUAGUAAGUAAUAGUUAUAAUUAUCAUUUAAUAACCCCAAGACUGAUGUGAAGGCCAGAGGUCUCAAUAUUCUUUCUACAAGGAUUUUUUUUUAUUACCAAAGUUGUAUACCUGAGACAUGAAUAAAUUAAAACCUUUCACACUUUGUCAGAUAAAGCAAAACAUAUACUAAGAUGACAAUAAACUCUGUUGUUCUAGCUUUUUGCUUAGGAAUCUACUAAAUAAAAUCAUUUUGAAAAUAAUUUAUAUUUUGUGUAGUGUUUUUAACUUUUUCAAAGAAUUUCCUAUUUUUGUAUAUUUAUGUUCAUUUGCUGCAUAUGAGAAUGUGGAUAUGUAGGAAGGUCAGAAAGGAAUUACAAUUCUUCAUUCCAGUUGAUUAUGAUUUUUCUAGUCAUCCAGACUCAUAACUUCAGUUUAAUCUCUAUUUUUUCUCUUUGCUCACGACCUUGAGUCACUUGUCAGUCUUAUAUAUUCCUAUACCAAACUAUCUCUUGCACUGUCAUUGCCACCUGGCUUAGGUAUCAUAUCUUUUCAUCUGUAUCAGUGUCACAAUCUUCAAAUUGGUCCUCCCAUCCCUGGCUUUACCCUUCUUAAUUCAUUCUUCACUUUGAAAAUCUGCUUUGCUACUAUGUCUGCUCAUAACCUUCCAUGAUUCCCUACUGCACCUACACUAAAUACAAAUUCUGUACUCGGAUUUCCCUUUUCAGUCCCAAAUUCUGGUUAAAGAGACACACUUUGGAAUUGGCUUGAAUUGAGUUUAAAUCUUGAUUCUAACCCUUGCUCUUUGUAUAACCUUGCAAAUAUUAUUUAAGAUCUUUGAGCCCAUCAGAAGGUUCAUGUGAGGUAUAAAUUACAUAAUUAAUUAAUUGAUUGAUUGAUCAGACAAAUACUUAUGAAAUGUCUGUUAUGUGCCAGACAUUGUUCUAACACUAGUGAUAAAGCAGUGAACAAGAAUUUCUAGGAAAAUGGACAAUAAUCAAACAGUACACACACAACAUUUUUUAAAAUAAAUUUUUAUUUUAGAUUAUUUUAGAUUUAUAGAAAAAUUAUUAACUACAGAGAGCUUUUUUAUACCUAACUUUCCCUAUUACUGACAUCUUACAUAUUAAUAUAUUAUAAACCUUAAAUUCAUAGUUUAUUGAAAUUUCCUUAGUUUUUACCUAGUGUCCCAGAAUUCCAUCCAAG